AGGAAUAUUAUCUGAGAAACCAUAAACUUGUUAAUGUUUGUAAAAUAAACUUUCUUUUUGGUUUACUUUUAGCAACUGGCUGGACUCGGUGUUUAACCCGAGGAUAAUGGGUUGGUGGCAGCAGGGAAGCGAGCACAGUGGUGGCACAGGGAUCAAUAGACCGUUAAACGUCCGGGGACCCUGUGUGAUCUCCCACAAUAACCUUUGCUUUUUACAGAUUCGGUAGCAACAGCUUCUGGGCCGCUGCUUGUCGAAGUGGCCAAAACUGCUGGUUCCGCUCUGGGAGUUGCACUAUCUACCUCGAUGUGCUGUAGCAAACAAGUGAUCAUCAUAGACAAAAUAAAAUCUGCAAGUAUUGCAGACAGGUG
Molecule: non-coding RNA, 368 nt
Organism: Podarcis lilfordi (Lilford's wall lizard)
Lineage: Eukaryota; Metazoa; Chordata; Lepidosauria; Squamata; Lacertidae
Source: the annotation of a GenBank genome assembly